RNAcentral lists this long non-coding RNA (1272 nucleotides) under Gallus gallus (chicken). RNAcentral's name for it is "lncRNA (ENSGALG00010014473.1)". Lineage: Eukaryota; Metazoa; Chordata; Aves; Galliformes; Phasianidae. The record is from RNAcentral.
GGUGAUGGCCUUGAGCUGCACCCGGGGGCUCAGGGUGGAUGUAAGGAAAAACGUCAUCUCAGAGGAGCAGUAGUGCAUUGGCACAGACUGCCCAUGGAAGUUGUGCACCCCGGGGGUGUUAAUAACUGCACAGAUGCAGCACUGAAGGACAUGGUCAGUGGAGGGGAUGGGGUGGGGUUGGACUUGGGGAUCUUAGAGCUCUUUUCCAAGCUUUACGUACCUAUGAGACGCAGCUGCCCUGGCCAGCCCCGGUGUGAGCUGUGCCUGUGCGAGGCUUGCUGAAAGGCACAGGGGUGUUUCCACCCAGUAGUCAGCCCAGCGGCUCCUUCCCUCCGGGAUCCCCCUAGAGGAGCAGUUUCAGGCUGAAGGGAGCAGAGCUGUGCCUCGGCCGCCACCUAGCAGCCACCCAGCAGCGCUGGGGACACAGCCAGCCAGCAGAGCUGUGCCAAGGCACUGCGCGCUCCGACUCGUGGUUUUGGGCCAUUUAGGAAGCAUUUGGUUUGGACUAGGUAGCCAGAAAUGGGAGUGCAACGACAGCAUCCAAAAGCCACAGGGCAGCUUAGCAUGCAGCCAAUACAGCAGUGAGCCCAACUGCUGGGGACGGGGCAAUGGAGAAGGCAAUGCGUGCCUCCACUCUCCCUUUUCUGCCUCAAUUUCUGUUUUCUCCACGUCUCCGUAGUAAAGGAAUGCAUACUACAAAGAGUUGCUUCAGCCAGGCAAAAUUUGGCAACCAAGUGGUUAAUUUUCCCCAUAGCUCUGCAAAGCCAAAGGAGGUAUUAUCCAACAUUACUGCAUGUAUCACGUGGGUGUGCUUCCAAAUUGCUUCUAAGUCAGUAGCCAUCCUUUGAGACUGAUCGAUAUCUGUACAUCAUCUUUGAUUGAUUAUCAUCCAUACCCUCCCUUCCUUUGCUGUUAGAAGAUCAAUGCCAUCCUGUUCUGUAGGACUGCUUUACCAAGGGAGGAUACCUCAAUUUGUAGAGCUCGUAGAGCGUCCACUGUGGAAUUCUCAAUACCUUCCAAAGCAGCCGAUGCACUGACCAUGGCUUUUUCUAAUUCACUUACUCCAAGGUGAGGGAUAAACCACCUAACAAAACUAUGGAACCCAGAGGGUCUGUCUAUAAGAGGGUUAUUUAUACAUUUCACCCUCUCCCAAGGAGUUCUCAGUAUCCCUGGAGGUGGAACUGCUCCACUGAAAAAGGAAUUAUGGGGCAUGAAGCAUCCUCCUACACAAUGCCCCCUCCAGUUCUUAGGUAGGGUCUUCCUUGCCUGCCC